GAUCAUGGCUCAGGAUGAAUGCUAGCGACAGGCUUAACACAUGCAAGUCGAGGGCAUCACGGGAGUAGCAAUACAACUGGUGGCGACCGGCGCACGGGUGAGUAACGCGUAUGCAACCUACCUAUCAGAGGGGAAUAACCCGGCGAAAGUCGGACUAAUACCGCAUAAAACAGGGGCACCGCAUGGUGAUAUUUGUUAAAGAAAUUCGCUGAUAGAUGGGCAUGCGUUCCAUUAGGUAGUUGGUGAGGUAACGGCUCACCAAGCCGACGAUGGAUAGGGGAACUGAGAGGUUGGUCCCCCACACUGGUACUGAGACACGGACCAGACUCCUACGGGAGGCAGCAGUGAGGAAUAUUGGUCAAUGGGCGGGAGCCUGAACCAGCCAAGUCGCGUGAAGGAAGAAGGAUCUAUGGUUCGUAAACUUCUUUUGCAGGGGAAUAAAGUGCAGGACGUGUCCUGUUUUGUAUGUACCCUGAGAAUAAGGAUCGGCUAACUCCGUGCCAGCCGCGGC
RNAcentral lists this ribosomal RNA (511 nucleotides) under uncultured bacterium. RNAcentral describes it as "bacterial SSU rRNA". It matches the Rfam family "Bacterial small subunit ribosomal RNA", at positions 15 to 518 of the family's 1533-position model. The record is from RNAcentral.